GGCCGCGGGAAUUCGAUUCAGGCCUAACACAUGCAAGUCGAGCGGGGUUUUCGGACCUAGCGGCGGACGGGUGAGUAAUGCGUAGGAAGCUACCCGAUAGAGGGGGAUACCAGUUGGAAACGACUGUUAAUACCGCAUAAUGUCUACGGACCAAAGUGUGGGACCUUCGGGCCACAUGCUAUCGGAUGCGCCUACGUGGGAUUAGCUAGUUGGUGAGGUAAUGGCUCACCAAGGCGACGAUCUCUAGCUGGUUUGAGAGGAUGAUCAGCCACACUGGAACUGAGACACGGUCCAGACUCCUACGGGAGGCAGCAGUGGGGAAUAUUGGACAAUGGGCGCAAGCCUGAUCCAGCAAGGCCGCGUGUGUGAAGAAGGCCUUCGGGUGUAAAUUAAUAGAGUAGGGAGGAAGAGUUAAGUAUUAAU
RNAcentral lists this ribosomal RNA (423 nucleotides) under uncultured bacterium. RNAcentral describes it as "bacterial SSU rRNA". It matches the Rfam family "Bacterial small subunit ribosomal RNA", at positions 39 to 464 of the family's 1533-position model. The record is from RNAcentral.